Molecule: ribosomal RNA, 253 nt
Filed under: uncultured bacterium
Lineage: Bacteria
Description: partial 16S ribosomal RNA
Rfam family: Bacterial small subunit ribosomal RNA
Source: RNAcentral
UACGGAGGGGGCUAGCGUUGUUCGGAAUUACUGGGCGUAAAGCGCACGUAGGCGGCUUUGUAAGUUAGAGGUGAAAGCCCAGGGCUUAACCCUGGAAUUGCCUUUAAGACUGCAUCGCUAGAAUCGUGGAGAGGUGAGUGGAAUUCCGAGUGUAGAGGUGAAAUUCGUAGAUAUUCGCAAGAACACCAGUGGCGAAGGCGGCUUACUGGACCGGUUCUGACGCUGAGGCGCGAAAGCGUGGGGAGCAAACAGG